AGGUCAGGCGGGACUACCCGCUGAGUUUAAGCAUU
This 35-nucleotide ribosomal RNA is filed under the name Luffa acutangula (angled luffa). RNAcentral's name for it is "partial 28S ribosomal RNA". The record is from RNAcentral. Lineage: Eukaryota; Viridiplantae; Streptophyta; Magnoliopsida; Cucurbitales; Cucurbitaceae.